CUCGAACGUAAGAUGACUGUAGGUGAAAGCUUACAUCUCUCGGAGCAGUUUUACGAGGUGCGUGCAUGGUUGUCGUCAGCUCGUGCCGUGAGGUGUCGGGUUAAGUCCCAUAACGAGCGCAACCCUACCUUUAGUUGCCAUCAGGUAAUGCUGGGGACUCUAAAGGAACUGCCUACGCAAGUAGUGAGGAAGGCGGGGAUGACGUCAAAUCAGCACGGCCUUACGUCCAGGGCUACACACGUGCUACAAUGGCCGAUACAGAGGGCAGCUACCUGGUGACAGGGAUGCAAAUACUCCAAAGUCGGUCUCAGUUCGGAUCGGAGUCUGCAACCCGACUCCGUGAAGUUGGAUUCGCUAGUAAUCGCGCAUCAGCCAUGGCGCGGUGAAUACGUUCCCGGGCCUU
Molecule: ribosomal RNA, 403 nt
Filed under: uncultured Sphingobacteriales bacterium
Lineage: Bacteria; Pseudomonadati; Bacteroidota; Sphingobacteriia; Sphingobacteriales
Description: bacterial SSU rRNA
Rfam family: Bacterial small subunit ribosomal RNA
Source: RNAcentral